CCUCACGGUUUACUAUAAGUUGCAUAAACAGUUUGUCGUACACGUUAUGAUCAGUUGUCAGAGAACAAGAAUUUAUAGGUUUCCUAAAAUAGGCAAGUGUCAUCUUUAAAAAAAUUUUAUAGUUUAAGGGUUGAAAAAUCCUUUUGGUAAAAAAAUCGAAAAAAAUGUAGACAAAAAAGAAGAUUGCGACCUUCUCUAUGUCUUAUGGCAACAUAUUUUUGUUGUUGUUGGUGAAACAAAAGACUUUUUAAGUCAGUAGACACAGCCCGGAGAUUUUAACUUUCUCCAACACUUUCUCCAAGACACCGCUGUCGGCGGAGAAUGUUUACUCUACGUGUUGUAGAAUACAGCAAAUAUUACCAUU
Daphnia magna is the source of this 364-nucleotide long non-coding RNA. RefSeq lists it as uncharacterized. The transcript has 2 exons. The record is from RefSeq and is a predicted model, not a curated record. Lineage: Eukaryota; Metazoa; Arthropoda; Branchiopoda; Diplostraca; Daphniidae.